AUUGAACGCUGGCGGCAGGCCUAACACAUGCAAGUCGAGCGGAUGAAGGGAGCUUGCUCCUGGAUUCAGCGGCGGACGGGUGAGUAAUGCCUAGGAAUCUGCCUGGUAGUGGGGGAUAACGUCCGGAAACGGGCGCUAAUACCGCAUACGUCCUGAGGGAGCAAGUGGGGGAUCUUCGGACCUCACGCUAUCAGAUGAGCCUAGGUCGGAUUAGCUAGGUGGUGGGGUAAAGGCCUACCAAGGCGACGAUCCGUAACUGGUCUGAGAGGAUGAUCAGUCACACUGGAACGGAGACACGGUCCAGACGCCUACGGGAGGCAGCAGUGGGGAAUAUUGGACAAUGGGCGAAAGCCUGAUCCAGCCAUGCCGCGUGUGUGAAGAAGGUCUUCGGAUUGUAAAGCACUUUAAGUUGGGAGGAAGGGCAGUAAGUUAAUACCUUGCUGUUUUGACGUUACCAACAGAAUAAGCACCGGCUAACUUCGUG
Molecule: ribosomal RNA, 484 nt
Filed under: uncultured bacterium
Lineage: Bacteria
Description: partial 16S ribosomal RNA
Rfam family: Bacterial small subunit ribosomal RNA
Source: RNAcentral